This 253-nucleotide ribosomal RNA is filed under the name uncultured bacterium. Its description in RNAcentral is "partial 16S ribosomal RNA". It matches the Rfam family "Bacterial small subunit ribosomal RNA", at positions 524 to 776 of the family's 1533-position model. The record is from RNAcentral.
UACAGAGGGUGCAAGCGUUAAUCGGAAUUACUGGGCGUAAAGCGUGCGUAGACGGUUGCGUAAGUCAGAUGUGAAAGCCCCGGGCUCAACCUGGGAAUUGCAUUUGAAACUGCGUAGCUAGGGUGCGGAAGAGGGAAGCGGAAUUUCCGGUGUAGCGGUGAAAUGCGUAGAUAUCGGAAGGAACACCAGUGGCGAAAGCGGCUUCCUGGUCCAGCACCGACGUUCAGGCACGAAAGCGUGGGGAGCAAACAGG